Molecule: long non-coding RNA, 249 nt
Filed under: Lathyrus oleraceus (garden pea)
Lineage: Eukaryota; Viridiplantae; Streptophyta; Magnoliopsida; Fabales; Fabaceae
Description: Pisum sativum (pea) long non-coding RNA (PSAT_LNC018424)
Source: RNAcentral
ACUAUUAUGCGAAAAAUAUCUAAAAGCUAAAACGGGAAAGGUAAAUUUGCAAGGGAAAAAGAAUGUAAAGCUUGCAAAAGAAAUAAAUAAAAUAAACAAUGUUAAGUGCUGGAAAAGAAAAUAAAAUAAAAUAAGCAAAAGCGUGAAAAGAAAAUUGGCAGAGCUUCGGCAAUAUGAGCAUGGAAAAACCCGGAGAGACUUUUAGGUUUUUGAGAUGGCUAUUUAUAAUAGUGUUGGUAACUGCUUUCC